GAUGAACGCUGGCGGCGUGCCUAAUACAUGCAAGUCGAGCGGUAACACUUCGGGUGACGAGCGGCGGACGGCUGAGUAACACGUAGGAAUGUACCCCAAAGUGAGGGAUAAGCACCAGAAAUGGUGUCUAAUACCGCAUGUGCUCUAAGGAGUAAAGCUUCGGCGCUUUGGGAACGGCCUGCGUAUGAUUAGCUUGUUGGUGAGGUAAUGGCUCACCAAGGCGACGAUCAUUAGCUGGUCUGAGAGGAUGAUCAGCCAGACUGGGACUGAGACACGGCCCAGACUCCUACGGGAGGCAGCAGUAGGGAAUUUUCCACAAUGGGCGAAAGCCUGAUGGAGCAACGCCGCGUGCAGGAUGAAGGCCCUUGGGUCGUAAACUGCUUUUAUCUGUGACGAUUUUGACGGUAGCAGAUGAAUAAGGAUCGGCUAACUCCGUGCCAGCCGCCGCCGUAA
Molecule: ribosomal RNA, 453 nt
Filed under: uncultured bacterium
Lineage: Bacteria
Description: partial 16S ribosomal RNA
Rfam family: Bacterial small subunit ribosomal RNA
Source: RNAcentral